CUAAAGUUAACAAACCACAUAUUAGUCAAAUUCUUAAGACUUUAAUAAAUCAGUUAUUAAAUCUUAAAAAAUAUAUAAAAACAUGUUCUUAUAUUUUCACAGGAAAUACAACUUGAUUUUAUUUGUCCUUCAGAUACUUGACCAUAUACAAAUUAAAACAUUAAAUUAUUUUUUUUAUCUUUUUGAUUUUAUAAUUUAAUAACAUAAAAAAAGUACAAACACACACACACACACACAUCCCUUUUUAUUAUAUUGUUUUUUCAUACACCCAUAUAUAAUUACAUGUUAAACAAAUACAGAAAUUAAACAAAACCACUAACAACAAUUUAAAUCCAUAUUCCAGCACGUAAAAAUUACAAAAAAAAAGACCCUAAAAAAUCCAGGAAUUGCAGGGGAAGCCAUCUGGACUGUAGGAACAGUGGCGGCGUGUAUCCUCCACGCGCCGCCGCAAGAAAAAAACAAGGACAGGGUGGAUCUGACUUGGCUUCACCCAUUCUUCCUUUCCUCGCCGGCAGUGACCUGCAACAAGAAAAAAGAAAACGCAGGCAGUUGAUUUUAAUCCAUUUCUGUCCAGACUGUUGUAUUUUUUUUCCUUUUUAGAUCUGUUAACUUCUGUCUUCUUUCUUCUUCUCAGUUUGUUGUUCUUUCCUUCUUCUCCCGGUGGCAGCUCUUGAGGUUGGGCGGCGGCAGCGGCGCUGGAUUCGGGCUGUUUCUUUGGCCGUUGCUAUUGGAAGCUGAAAUUUGGUCUAGGUGAGCUGGCUGAUUGGUGGUGAAGGAGACUAGGAAAGGGAGAUGAGGAAGUGCAGUGGGCGAUCUCUGUGGUGUGCUGGGAGGCUGAGAGUUAGUGGCCGGCUGCUGUGGGGAAGGAGAUGGGGACGGCUGUUGGUUUGGGAGAGAAACAGAGGAAAUGGGGAACCAUGGGUUUGUGGGAGAAGGCCGAAGUAGAUGGGGAGAGGCGUGGGAUUGAAGAUGAGUGUUGCUGGAGGCUGCUGGUUUUCCCAAAGGGUGGGCGGCUGGCGUAAGGAAGGGACGACGUUUGUGGGCUGUUGGAUGGAGAAGAGGAAGGCUUGUGCUGGUUCACGAGAGCGAAAAUCAAAAGCAGGGAGGGCGGCUCUGUUUUUUUCUUUUCAAAGGGAGGGAGCGACCAGAAGAGGAAGAUGAAAUGGGUUUAGGGUUUUUUGUGUUUGGCUCCUCUUUUUUGAAAAAUUGCCCCCUUUUGAAUAUU
RNAcentral lists this long non-coding RNA (1225 nucleotides) under Populus trichocarpa (black cottonwood). Its description in RNAcentral is "long non-coding RNA (PTRI_LNC003821)". The record is from RNAcentral. Lineage: Eukaryota; Viridiplantae; Streptophyta; Magnoliopsida; Malpighiales; Salicaceae.